AUUGAACGCUGGCGGCAUGCCUAACACAUGCAAGUCGAACGAGUGGCGGACGGGUGAGUAAUGUCUGGGAAACUGCCUGAUGGCGGGGGAUAACUACUGGAAACGGUAGCUAAUACCGCAUACCAUCAGAUGGGCCCAUAUGGGAUUAGCUAGUUGGUGGGGUAACGGCUCACCAAGGCGACGAUCCCUAGCUGGUCUGAGAGGAUGACCAGCCACACUGGAACUGAGACACGGCCCAGACUCCUACGGGAGGCAGCAGUGGGGAAUAUUGCACAAGGGGCGCAAGCCUGAUGCAGCCAUGCCGCGUGUAUGAAGAAGGCCUUCGGGUUGUAAAGUACUUUCAGCUGGGAGGCGUUACCCGCAGAAGAAGCACCGGCUAACUACGUGCCAGCAGCCGCGGUAAUAC
RNAcentral lists this ribosomal RNA (406 nucleotides) under uncultured bacterium. RNAcentral describes it as "partial 16S ribosomal RNA". It matches the Rfam family "Bacterial small subunit ribosomal RNA", at positions 30 to 526 of the family's 1533-position model. The record is from RNAcentral.